Molecule: long non-coding RNA, 308 nt
Filed under: Fukomys damarensis (Damara mole-rat)
Lineage: Eukaryota; Metazoa; Chordata; Mammalia; Rodentia; Bathyergidae
Description: lncRNA (ENSFDAG00000032140.1)
Source: RNAcentral
CUCAGAUGAGUGAAUUUGAAACCACAGGAAUUUGAGGCCUUGUGACCAAGUCACCUAAGACGUGAGCCCAUUCACUGUGAACCUACUCUUGCCUUCAUAAACGUUGCUGCUUUUUCCCUACCAUCACCGGCUGCGUCCACGUCUUUGUUCAUCACACACCAGAACCUAGGAAGCUGCCCGGGACCCCAUCACCCAGGUAACACAGGUGUUUGUCCACUCGCCUCCCCAUUUUCUGGGACUUUCUUCUUCUUCUGUUAUGCGACUGUUCGCAAGUCACCGUGGGAUUGCGACUUCGAUCUUCUUUCUCC